RNAcentral lists this ribosomal RNA (757 nucleotides) under Bacteroides fragilis. RNAcentral's name for it is "bacterial SSU rRNA". It matches the Rfam family "Bacterial small subunit ribosomal RNA", at positions 28 to 776 of the family's 1533-position model. The record is from RNAcentral. Lineage: Bacteria; Pseudomonadati; Bacteroidota; Bacteroidia; Bacteroidales; Bacteroidaceae.
GAUGAACGCUAGCUACAGGCUUAACACAUGCAAGUCGAGGGGCAUCAGGAAGAAGCUUGCUUUCUUUGCUGGCGACCGGCGCACGGGUGAGUAACACGUAUCCAACCUGCCCUUUACUCGGGGAUAGCCUUUCGAAAGAAAGAUUAAUACCCGAUGGCAUAAUGAUUCCGCAUGGUUUCAUUAUUAAAGGAUUCCGGUAAAGGAUGGGGAUGCGUUCCAUUAGGUUGUUGGUGAGGUAACGGCUCACCAAGCCUUCGAUGGAUAGGGGUUCUGAGAGGAAGGUCCCCCACAUUGGAACUGAGACACGGUCCAAACUCCUACGGGAGGCAGCAGUGAGGAAUAUUGGUCAAUGGGCGCUAGCCUGAACCAGCCAAGUAGCGUGAAGGAUGAAGGCUCUAUGGGUCGUAAACUUCUUUUAUAUAAGAAUAAAGUGCAGUAUGUAUACUGUUUUGUAUGUAUUAUAUGAAUAAGGAUCGGCUAACUCCGUGCCAGCAGCCGCGGUAAUACGGAGGAUCCGAGCGUUAUCCGGAUUUAUUGGGUUUAAAGGGAGCGUAGGUGGACUGGUAAGUCAGUUGUGAAAGUUUGCGGCUCAACCGUAAAAUUGCAGUUGAUACUGUCAGUCUUGAGUACAGUAGAGGUGGGCGGAAUUCGUGGUGUAGCGGUGAAAUGCUUAGAUAUCACGAAGAACUCCGAUUGCGAAGGCAGCUCACUGGACUGCAACUGACACUGAUGCUCGAAAGUGUGGGUAUCAAACAGG